This 468-nucleotide ribosomal RNA is filed under the name uncultured bacterium. Its description in RNAcentral is "partial 16S ribosomal RNA". It matches the Rfam family "Bacterial small subunit ribosomal RNA", at positions 28 to 507 of the family's 1533-position model. The record is from RNAcentral.
GACGAACGCUGGCGGCGUGCCUAACACAUGCAAGUCGAACGGAAAGGCCCUGCUCUUGUGGGGUGCUCGAGUGGCGAACAGGUGAGUAACACGUGUGUAACCUGCCCUUGACUUUGGGAUAACUUCAGGAAACUGGGGCUAAUACCGGAUAUGAGCUCCCGCUGCACGGUGGGGGUUGGAAAGUUUCGGCGGUUGGGGAUGGACACGCGGCUUAUCAGCUUGUUGGUGGGGUAGUGGCUUACCAAGGCUUUGACGGGUAGCCGGCCUGAGAGGGUGACCGGCCACAUUGGGACUGAGAUACGGCCCAGACUCCUACGGGAGGCAGCAGUGGGGAAUAUUGCACAAUGGGCGGAAGCCUGAUGCAGCAACGCCGCGUGCGGGAUGACGGCCUUCGGGUUGUAAACCGCUUUCGCCUGUGACGAAGCGUGAGUGACGGUAAUGGGUAAAGAAGCACCGGCUAACUACGUG